AACGCACCUUGCGCCCUCUGGUAUUCCGGAGGGCAUGCCUGUUUGAGUGUCGCGCACCUCUCAACCCCCCACUUGGUUUCACACCGAGUGCGCGGGCUUGGACCGUGGCUGCCUUAGGUCGCUUGCGCGAGCGAGCGGCCCAGCCGAAAUGCACACCAAGCGGAUGUCCGUUCUCUGGGGACGCGGCUUGACCGAGUGUUGUAGUGUCGUACAAGCACAUUCGGGACGUGACCUCUAGAGCGACGGCUCUGCGCCGGAACGACGACUCUAUAUUGUCAUCGACCUCAAAUCAGGCAGGACUACCCGCUGAACUUAA
Molecule: unclassified non-coding RNA, 316 nt
Filed under: uncultured fungus
Lineage: Eukaryota; Fungi
Description: partial contains 5.8S ribosomal RNA, internal transcribed spacer 2, and large subunit ribosomal RNA
Rfam family: 5.8S ribosomal RNA (bases 1-52)
Source: RNAcentral